This 499-nucleotide ribosomal RNA is filed under the name uncultured bacterium. RNAcentral describes it as "bacterial SSU rRNA". It matches the Rfam family "Bacterial small subunit ribosomal RNA", at positions 28 to 517 of the family's 1533-position model. The record is from RNAcentral.
GAUGAACGCUAGCGACAGGCCUAACACAUGCAAGUCGAGGGGCAGCACAUGAGUAGCAAUACGAUGGUGGCGACCGGCGCACGGGUGAGUAACACGUAUGCAACCUGCCUGUAAGAGGGGAAUAACCCGGAGAAAUUCGGACUAAUACCGCAUAAUGCCACGAGACUGCAUGGUUUUGUGGUUAAACAUUUAUGGCUUACAGAUGGGCAUGCGUAUGAUUAGAUAGUUGGUAGGGUAACGGCCUACCAAGUCUACGAUCAUUAGGGGUUCUGAGAGGAAGGUCCCCCACGACUGGUACUGAGACACGGACCAGACUCCUACGGGAGCAGCAGUGAGGAAUAUUGGUCAAUGGGCGAGAGCCUGAACCAGCCAAGUCGCGUGAAGGAAGAAGGUUCUAAUGGAUUGUAAACUUCUUUUGCUAGGGGAAUAAAGGACGGUACGUGUAACUGUUUUGUAUGUACCUUGCGAAUAAGGAUCGGUAACUCCGUGCCAGCAGCCG